AGGGAAUCCAUUCGGAGUACGCAUACCUCUGUCUCCAUCUGGCUGAUGGAUCAGUUUUCAUGCAUGUGUGAUCUUGUGGGAAGCAUUACAGGACCCUGUGACAGAGCCUUCCAAUUUUGCAUUUCAAGGUCCCCUCCUGGUAACCCACAGGAAUGGCCAAGCAUUUGCGGUGUACCUUGAGAUGACUGUGUCAGAAUCCAAGCGUGCCUGAGGUGUGUGGCCCGAUACUUCUUGGGAGACGAGCAAGAGAUAACAGCCUGGUGACAACUGGAACUUCCCAGACAGGCAGGAGGCCUCGUUCUGCACCUGAUGGGGAUUUGCAUUCCCAGAUAUGUGCAAGAUAAAGUGGAGGGCUAACACCCACAGAGGGAAUGGAAGAGAGGUGCUGGGUUGGGACUCCCCAGGAGGGGUUUUUGAG
Molecule: non-coding RNA, 418 nt
Organism: Lonchura striata (white-rumped munia)
Lineage: Eukaryota; Metazoa; Chordata; Aves; Passeriformes; Estrildidae
Source: RefSeq, a predicted model, not a curated record